Molecule: long non-coding RNA, 458 nt
Organism: Lacerta agilis (Sand lizard)
Lineage: Eukaryota; Metazoa; Chordata; Lepidosauria; Squamata; Lacertidae
Exons: 3
Source: RefSeq, a predicted model, not a curated record
GAGCAGAGCCCCUUCCCUCCCUCCCUUGCGCGUGCGCGCUAGCCCGCUCGCGCCCAACCGUCCUUCGUGGCGGCCGUUGGGGCUGAGGCAGUGUCGCGCGUCUCUCCUGCUCUGACGUCAUCGGGAAGGCCCCAACCAUAGAUCUAUUCAAGAAAUGAAGACUGCCGAACGUUUCGGAGCUUCCGGAUCAUCUAGUGGUCAACCGUUAAGGAACAUAUCACGUGGUUGCAGAUCAGAUUUUGCAAAGACGUUUGCCGCACAAGGAAGCACGCGAAACAGCAAUACAUCCAUCCACCACUGAAAAGAUCUCAAGAGAAAGGAUAUGUUUUGUAGAUAUUGCCUCAAGGGUGAAUCCUUCAUAGCACUCACAACGAUGGGAACUGCCACUGGGAACACAGAUUUGUUGGCAGUCGUGGGUUCCAGGGGCACAGACGUCCAAAGCUGAAGAAUGAACUAUU